CUGGACGGUCAAAGCGACUUGGUCACACCCGAUCCCUUUUCGAACUCGGAAGUUAAGCAAGUCUACGUUUUGCACGGUACUGCGCUUACGCGCGGGAACUGCAGAAAGCUGUCCACU
Molecule: ribosomal RNA, 117 nt
Filed under: Nanobdellota archaeon
Lineage: Archaea; Nanobdellati; Nanobdellota
Source: RNAcentral